UCAAACUUGGUCAUUUAGAGGAAGUAAAAGUCGUAACAAGGUUUCCGUAGGUGAACCUGCGGAAGGAUCAUUAACACGUAUCCACGUAUCAACACUCUGUGAACUUAAUCUCCCUACUUUGAUUAGCUGUUAAUAUGGUUAGUGGUGGGUGUGCAGCCUAAAAAACUGUACGCAACUGUAUUAACUAGGGUUUCGAGCCCAGUGCUGUCAUUGUUAGGCAAUAACCUUCCAUCACUGUCAAACAAACCAUUUUCACUUAAUACUCAUCUUGACUGAUGUACUUAUGUAAGAGAAAUCUGGCAUAAGCAAGUUAUUCAAACUAAGCACAACUCUUAGCAAUGGAUAUCUUGGUUCUCGCAUCGAUGAAGAACGCAGC
Molecule: unclassified non-coding RNA, 376 nt
Filed under: uncultured fungus
Lineage: Eukaryota; Fungi
Description: partial contains small subunit ribosomal RNA, internal transcribed spacer 1, and 5.8S ribosomal RNA
Rfam family: Eukaryotic small subunit ribosomal RNA (bases 1-73)
Source: RNAcentral